UAGGGAAUCUUCGGCAAUGGACGAAAGUCUGACCGAGCAACGCCGCGUGAGUGAAGAAGGUUUUCGGAUCGUAAAACUCUGUUGUUAGAGAAGAACAAGGACGUUAGUAACUGAACGUCCCCUGACGGUAUCUAACCAGAAAGCCACGGCUAACUACGUGCCAGCAGCCGCGGUAAUACGUAGGUGGCCAGCGUUGUCCGGUUUUAUUGGGCGUAAAGCGAGCGCAGGCGGUUUCUUAAGUCUGAUGUGAAAGCCCCCGGCUCAACCGGGGAGGGUCAUUGGAAACUGGGAGACUUGAGUGCAGAAGAGGAGGGUGGAAUUCCAUGUGUAGCGGUGAAAUGCGUAGAUAUAUGGAGGAACACCAGUGGCGAGGGCGGCUCGCUGGUCUGUAACUGACGCUGAGGCUCGAAAGCGUGGGGAGCAAACAGG
This 429-nucleotide ribosomal RNA is filed under the name Gemmatimonadota bacterium. Its description in RNAcentral is "Gemmatimonadetes bacterium partial 16S ribosomal RNA". It matches the Rfam family "Bacterial small subunit ribosomal RNA", at positions 355 to 776 of the family's 1533-position model. The record is from RNAcentral. Lineage: Bacteria; Pseudomonadati; Gemmatimonadota.